RNAcentral lists this non-coding RNA (184 nucleotides) under uncultured Spirochaetota bacterium. RNAcentral's name for it is "uncultured Spirochaetes bacterium Lysine". It matches the Rfam family "Lysine riboswitch aptamer". From Rfam's summary of the family: Riboswitches are metabolite binding domains within certain messenger RNAs that serve as precision sensors for their corresponding targets. Allosteric rearrangement of mRNA structure is mediated by ligand binding, and this results in modulation of gene expression. This family includes riboswitches that sense lysine in a number of genes involved in lysine metabolism, including lysC. The record is from RNAcentral. Lineage: Bacteria; Pseudomonadati; Spirochaetota.
GAAACCGAUGGAGGAGCGAUCCCCAGGAGUACCGCGGAGGAGGGCUGGGACCCGACGAUACCGUGGGGAAGGGGAGGAUCGCCGAAGGAACGAGGGUAUUCCCAGACCCUCGCUCUUGGGCGACCGGGCUAAUACCCGGCGACUGUCGCGAAGGCUCACAGCCUCGCGGAGAGCCUAAGGUACG